CAGGGCGCGGCAGCCAAUCAGAGCGCGGCUUCUAUAGGGCUUGAGUUAUUAGACGCUGAUCUCAAAACAUCCUUCAUCAGACACCAAGGAGAGGCCAACAGAUGAGGGGAGCCAUUUUUCUGCAAUGGAAUUAAAUGGCCAAGUGGGUUUUUCCUUUGUUGCAAGUGGGGAAUGUUUUUCCUUUGACUCCACCAUCCAGUUCAGGACGCCUGAAUGCGUUGUUUAACAUUUCAACAUGCUAAAGGACUCAUAAUUGGAAGAAUGAAGAAGACCUUUUAAAAAGAUCUGGAUUUUUCCUUAUGACGUGGAAUCCAUCUUUGUCUUGUAUAACUAGGUCAUAGCACACCAUUAAUGUCAGCAGUUAACAGUUUUGAAUUCCAAAAAACCUAAAGCAGUAAACAGUCCAGAGCGAAGCCGCCUUUUUGCCAACCCAACCCUGGAAAGUUUGCAGACGUGGAAGGAACAGAAAAUGCCAUGACAGUGUAACUUACAAAAAGGUCCUGCCGGAGGAGGCAACACCUGAGUGCCCCCCAACCCCACUGUAGACAAUCCUUGCUUCCUCUGGCCAGCUGGAGCAGGCCUAGCUUGACUGUCAGUGCUCCCACUAAGUCGUUGGGCCUGGAGCUUCACCUUACCUUGCCCCAUCAUUGGCCUCAGAUGGUAGUGACGGAAGUCUCCCAGCUGCACCCUGACGGCUUACAGCCAGUUCCUCCACUCCUUCUCAGAGCAUUGGAGAGCGCAGUUGGGUGGUGAACUGUGGACUGGGUGUGAUUCUUCGAAGGAAGGGAGAACUGGUCUCACUGUAGCCCAGGCUGCUCUGGAAUUCACUGCAUAGUCUCAGGCUGGACUUGAACUCCCCGUGAUCCACCUACCUCUGCCUCCUGAGUGCUGGGAUUAAAGGAGUGCACCACCACACCCGGUUUAGGCUUUCUUUCACAAGCCAUGUGAGUUCUCUAGGCAUAGCGGGACUCUGGAUUCCAGGGCCUGACCUGAGGCAGCCAGAAAGAAAAGGCCUAGAGUCUCUGCGAAGGGCUUAUCUCCUGUCCAGCAGUCUUCCAGUUCUUGGCCUGGAUGCCAGGCCUUCCAUGAUUUAGCACCAGUUACCUUGACAACCAUCUCUGGCUCACUGUUUCUCCACCAUCACUGCAAAGCUGAAGAUGGUUUGCCAACUGCAGUACAUUUGCCCAGACUGAGCACCCCUCUUGCUUCCAUUGGCCUGCCCUGCAAAACCUCCCAGCUCAGUUCAUGUUCCAGCCAACUCAGCCUUCCCUCGGCCCUUGGCUGUGAUCUCUACCAUUGAUUGCUCUCACCUCCUGAACUCUCAAAUUACUGCUUCCAGAGUGAGCUUCCUACAGGUAGGAGGAACACGAUUGCCUCUCAAUAAACAUUCUGCA
Long non-coding RNA from Jaculus jaculus (lesser Egyptian jerboa), 1394 nucleotides. RefSeq lists it as uncharacterized. The transcript is spliced from 6 exons. NCBI's taxonomy places the organism in Eukaryota, Metazoa, Chordata, Mammalia, Rodentia, Dipodidae. The record is from RefSeq and is a predicted model, not a curated record.